ACGGGUGAGUAAUGCCUAGGAAUCUGCCUGGUAGUGGGGGAUAACGUUCGGAAACGGACGCUAAUACCGCAUACGUCCUACGGGAGAAAGCAGGGGACCUUCGGGCCUUGCGCUAUCAGAUGAGCCUAGGUCGGAUUAGCUAGUUGGUGAGGUAAUGGCUCACCAAGGCGACGAUCCGUAACUGGUCUGAGAGGAUGAUCAGUCACACUGGAACUGAGACACGGUCCAGACUCCUACGGGAGGCAGCAGUGGGGAAUAUUGGACAAUGGGCGAAAGCCUGAUCCAGCCAUGCCGCGUGUGUGAAGAAGGUCUUCGGAUUGUAAAGCACUUUAAGUUGGGAGGAAGGGUUGUAGAUUAAUACUCUGCAAUUUUGACGUUACCGACAGAAUAAGCACCGGCUAACUCUGUGCCAGCAGCCGCGGUAAUACAGAGGGUGCAAGCGUUAAUCGGAAUUACUGGGCGUAAAGCGCGCGUAGGUGGUUUGUUAAGUUGGAUGUGAAAUCCCCGGGCUCAACCUGGGAACUGCAUUCAAAACUGACUGACUAGAGUAUGGUAGAGGGUGGUGGAAUUUCCUGUGUAGCGGUGAAAUGCGUAGAUAUAGGAAGGAACACCAGUGGCGAAGGCGACCACCUGGACUAAUACUGACACUGAGGUGCGAAAGCGUGGGGAGCAAACAGGAUUAGAUACCCUGGUAGUCCACGCCGUAACGAUGUCAACUAGCCGUUGGAAGCCUUGAGCUUUUAGUGG
RNAcentral lists this ribosomal RNA (747 nucleotides) under Pseudomonas sp. CB 286446. Its description in RNAcentral is "bacterial SSU rRNA". It matches the Rfam family "Bacterial small subunit ribosomal RNA", at positions 102 to 846 of the family's 1533-position model. The record is from RNAcentral. Lineage: Bacteria; Pseudomonadati; Pseudomonadota; Gammaproteobacteria; Pseudomonadales; Pseudomonadaceae.